This 2580-nucleotide unclassified non-coding RNA is filed under the name Hevea brasiliensis (rubber tree). Lineage: Eukaryota; Viridiplantae; Streptophyta; Magnoliopsida; Malpighiales; Euphorbiaceae. The record is from RNAcentral.
AAAAAAACCAAUUCACCUUACAACUGUACUACAUUGAAUUAAGUUGGUUUGUACAUUCAACUAUUUUUCAUCAACUCGUUGAUUUUGCACCUUAAUAAAUUAUGCACAACGAACACAACAGUUACUCGAGCCGACAAGUCAACAAACCAGAAAAAAAGGUUAGCUCUUUAAGAAUUUGCUUAAGCAUUGAAUAACUAACAGAAAACGAGGCUGACUUACUCCCCCCAAUUGCUAAGACACAUAUCCAAUAGUUUCUCUUGAUUUCAUCGAGAGAUGGACAAUUGACCGGCUUAAAAUUCCGAGUCUCUUAAUCACCUCUUUAAAUUGCAUUGGAAAAGAUACAUGGAUAUUCAAGCACUUUAUCAGAAGAACUGGACCAAAAAAAUUCCUCAAGCAGGACCACCUCUCAGGCGAUCAAGAAGCAGAACAGGAUACUGUAUAAUCCAUCCAACAACUGGAAUUUGAUAGAGGAACACCGUAACAGAUGGCCAAAAGCCACUAAAAGAAAAACAUCAAAGCAACACCUUAGGCUCCCAAUAAGUAUGUAAUCCAGUUAGGGAAUUAUGAUAGACAAAGAACUAACCCAAAGAGAGCAAUACAGCCAUAUAUUUCCAAGAUUAUACCAACGAUAGGCCAGCGAACAAAAAUGAAGAAAAGCCCCAGAAGAAAAGACACAGAGCCCUGAAGAUAAAGGGGAAAUUUUUAAUACAUAUCCCUUUCAAAUGCAUCAAUACAUGAUGUCAUUCAGACAGGCAUUUCAAAUUCGUAUACAACAGCAGAAUCAAUAAUGAAAAUAGAAACAUGUGCAAAUUUGUUAUUAGGCAACUAAACAUAAUGGCAUGUGGUCGAAUAAAAUUGAAAUAGAACAAUGAACUAAUAAUCUUUCCCCUGACCCUCACAAAGCAAGUCUUUCCCCUGACCCUCACAAAGCAAGGAGACUAAAUCACUUGGAUGUGCACUUUGUUUUUUCCCCCUUUAUUAUGAUUGUAGAUUUUUAAUGUCUGUACUGAAAGAAAAGGGAAUGUUUGAGAGUACUUCACUAUGUGCCCACUCACAUGUUUAUGCUGCAAAAUUCAUAGCAUUUGAAAGAGAAUUCAAAGAUGAAUGAGAGAAGAUAAAUUUCCUGGCAUUAAAAUAUAACUCUGAAACCAAAAAAAGCAUCAAGGUUUUUUAAGCCAACACAACAAUAACAACAACAACAAAACAACUAAGCGUUAAUUCCAAACUAGUCAGUUUCAGCUAUCUGAUCCUUUUUUGCUAUUCAACUCUAUUAGACACCAGAUCCGUAUCAACACAACAAGAAAGGAAUUUUUUUUUUUUUUUUUACAUAAAAAAUUAUUAAAAGUAAUGAGAGUCCUGCACUAUAAAGCAGACUUAGUUUCCAUCAUCAAGUGCCUUCGUGGUGGUCUAUGCAAUCAACUGUUGGAGAUUGUAAGGGUAAGCAUUGUCUGGAACAGAGGCAUUAUAUGCUAAAUUUGCCAGGACUACAUUUGCUGCCUCGGUCGGCCGGUACCCGUCCCAGUAAAAGUAAUCAUUCACGUUCUGGCAUUUGGCUGUGUUAGGAGCACACAAUCCAUUGCGGUCUGUUUCGCAACAAGGAACUUGUGUCUGCUUGAAACCUGGGAAAACGUUCGCUGAAGUUAGAUCAUAGAUGUUGAUAUAUGUGAACUUUGCAUUCUUGUAGUUCUUGUUGAACCUGUCGACUACCAUACUAAUCCUGCUGUUGAAGAUAUGGAUAUCUGUGUCCAUCACAGAUAUACAAUGUUGAUUUGUGGCAUAAAAUUUCACUGCAGUUGGGCUGCAACCCAAUGGCCCAAGCCCAAAAAUAGCAAUUUUCCUGGCUCCAGAGUUGUACAGAUUGUUCAAGUGAUUGAACAAGUAACCAUCAACAAGUUUCUCCGCGUAUUCCUCUGAUGGAAUUUUUCGGGUUGGUUCUGACCCGUUGUUCGAUGGGGUAUAGUAGCCUACCAAAUAAUCAUUGCUGCCAAUCCCAACACUAUAUAGGCAUUGCUGGAGGUAAUAGUUAGACUUGAAUUUGCUGCCAAAUAUGUUGUCAAUGCGUCGGACUAUUGUCCUGUGGAAAUUUAUUUGUUGGCUAAUGGAAGUGACCUUGCUUCCUGCAGUUUCCACUUGCAUAAUUGCAGCACCAGAUGCAUAAUUUACACCUUUGAGAAUUUCUGUGCCAUUACCAACUUUUCUGAAAGGUGGGAUGUAAUCCUUCAACCCAACUUUCUCAGCAAGUACAUCAACCAUGGUCUUGCCAUUGCUGAACCUUCCUGUAGGACCAGCAGGAAAAUCACUCCCAUAUGGCAAGUAAUUGGCUUUGUAAGUAUCAAGGUCAUUAUCAUUGCCAUUAACUGCGAACGAGUCUCCAAAAAUGAAAUAACAAGGAACUUGCUCUUGUUGCUGUUGCUGCUUUCCAAAAACACAACAUUGCAGGUUUGAAACAGUUAACAGAACAAACACCAACCAGCGUAAAUCUGAUUGCUUGGUAAUCAUUGCUGAAAUGAAAUAUCAAGAAUCUGCAAGAAUUUGAUAAAGAAAAAAUGAAAGGGAGAGGAAGAAGGUAUUUUAAAAAAG